UCACAAGAGAGCAGCUAGGGAGAGCCUGGAGUACAAAUGAUCUCCACCAUCUGCCCAUCACAGGACCUGAAAUUCCUCCUGUGAGGCAUUAUUUCCACAGGGUACUAUCCUGCCUCCCCCAUGGGGCUGUGGGGCGAUACUUCUAAGAAGAUGCUCGAGGCCAGGCGCCAUGGCUCACACCUGCAAUCCCAGCACUUCGAGAGUCCAAGGCAUGGAGACAUCAGGAUGAUGAGGAUGGCACCGCCAGUGAGUGAUGAAACCACAGGCCCUACUUAAACAUCUCUUCCCUAAUCUUCA
RNAcentral lists this long non-coding RNA (297 nucleotides) under Macaca fascicularis (crab-eating macaque). RNAcentral's name for it is "lncRNA (ENSMFAG00000051050.1)". Lineage: Eukaryota; Metazoa; Chordata; Mammalia; Primates; Cercopithecidae. The record is from RNAcentral.